This 73-nucleotide transfer RNA is filed under the name Microbacterium hominis. RNAcentral describes it as "tRNA-Lys". It matches the Rfam family "tRNA". Rfam says of the family: Transfer RNA (tRNA) molecules are approximately 80 nucleotides in length. Their secondary structure includes four short double-helical elements and three loops (D, anti-codon, and T loops). RNAcentral also lists the same sequence under 1 other name. Lineage: Bacteria; Bacillati; Actinomycetota; Actinomycetes; Micrococcales; Microbacteriaceae. The record is from RNAcentral.
GGGCCUCUAGCUCAACCGGCAGAGCAUCCGCCUUUUAAGCGGAGGGUUCUGGGAUCAAGACCCAGGGGGCCCA